ACUCUCAGAUAGAUGCCAGUUUCUGUUUGACUAAGGUGGUUUAUGUUUGUCUUUUCUCUCAUUCAGGCUAUCUGGGGUUGCGUUUUACAUUGAUACUUUCCCUGCACUGCUGAACUUCGCACUCAAACUACGGUGUGCCACCAACCUCUGCUCGCAUGACAUGGACGAUUACGGAUGCUCGUGCAGAUUCGCAGCGGAGGGACAGCCCGUGGAUGCAUUGGACAGAUAGUGUUAUACACACAGAAGAUGCUAUCAGACCGUAACUGCUAAGAGCUGCAGAUAGGAACGUGUGAGCAUUUCAAAGAACUUCACCUACUCUAAGGGAAACACCACCAACUGUGGUAAAAAAAAGUUAAUCAGCCGUACCAGUGACUGUCCGGGAGAUUCCUCUAAUGCCAGCAGCAGUUUUGUGAAUGUGACAGGGCUGCCAUUGAGUGCAUGGUUCAAAAGCCCCUACAACUCUGCAAUGACAGGCCUGGCUGGACAAUACUGUUCAAUAGAAGAACAAACAGUUGCAGAUUGGGGACAGGUGGAGCUGAUUGGGUCGUUAAGGUGACAAGUUGCACCUGGGAUCUUGGGAUCAACUAGGAGAUAAAAGUUCCUGGUGCCCAGUCCUGGCUCUCUCUCCACAAGCACUGUUUUGAUAUGGUUGAUUGGUUUUUGAUUAGGUGCACCCUUCAACACUUACACACAUUUGACCUUCAUCAUGCAUCUCCAUUACACCCCUCACAUGCCUACUUUCACACUUCACAGGUUAGUUUUCCUCUGUGGUUUUGUACUUUGUUGGUGGUUUAAUAAAUAUUUUUGUUACUCUAA
Salmo salar (Atlantic salmon) is the source of this 816-nucleotide long non-coding RNA. RefSeq lists it as uncharacterized. The record is from RefSeq and is a predicted model, not a curated record. Lineage: Eukaryota; Metazoa; Chordata; Actinopteri; Salmoniformes; Salmonidae.